UGACAGGUAGUCUCUAUUUAUUGAUAGAGCUGAAAUAGCAUGGGCAACAGUCAUAAAGCUUCUCCCUCAUCACCUUGCCAAUGUGCUUCAAUCCUGGCCUGGAGGGACCAAAUUGCAUAGCCUUGUCUACUUUAGCAAAC
Molecule: small RNA, 140 nt
Filed under: Chrysemys picta bellii (western painted turtle)
Lineage: Eukaryota; Metazoa; Chordata; Testudines; Emydidae
Description: TUC338 (ENSCPBG00000015477.1)
Source: RNAcentral